RNAcentral lists this ribosomal RNA (252 nucleotides) under uncultured bacterium. Its description in RNAcentral is "partial 16S ribosomal RNA". It matches the Rfam family "Bacterial small subunit ribosomal RNA", at positions 524 to 775 of the family's 1533-position model. The record is from RNAcentral.
UACGUAGGAUGCGAGCGUUGUCCGGAAUUACUGGGCGUAAAGAGCGCGUAGGCGGCCCUUCGCGUAGGCGGUGAAAGCCCCCGGCUCACCUGGGGGAGUGCCGCCUAAACGGGGGGGCUAGAGGGCGGUAGGGGCUGGCGGAACGCCCGGAGUAGCGGUGAAAUGCGUUGAGAUCGGGCAGAACACCAGUGGCGAAGGCGGCCGGCUGGGCCGCACCUGACGCUGAGGCGCGAAAGCCAGGGGAGCGAACGG